Long non-coding RNA from Calypte anna (Anna's hummingbird), 155 nucleotides. RefSeq lists it as uncharacterized. The transcript is spliced from 3 exons. Lineage: Eukaryota; Metazoa; Chordata; Aves; Apodiformes; Trochilidae. The record is from RefSeq and is a predicted model, not a curated record.
CCCGUAGUGCUGAAUGGGGUACCAAAAGUCCGAAUAAUCAGGAGACUGGCAAACAAAUGCAAAGAGUGACCACUUAAAACUUGGGCUGGCCGUAAUCCUCAUAUGGAACCCUACCCACAGCACCACCAAUAUAGGCCUACUGGUUUCUGUUUUAC